AAUUUCCACAAAAACUCUGUUUCAUUUUCACUCAACAAUGUAAAUGUUAUUUUUAUUUAUUGUAGUUCUGAAGAUGGCCCAAAACCAAGGAGCCGAAACGUCAAAUAAAAAUUGACUAAAAUCCAUUACUUAGGUUGUCUGCUUUACAAAACCCGGUCAUUAA
Molecule: long non-coding RNA, 163 nt
Organism: Agrilus planipennis (emerald ash borer)
Lineage: Eukaryota; Metazoa; Arthropoda; Insecta; Coleoptera; Buprestidae
Exons: 2
Source: RefSeq, a predicted model, not a curated record